Equus caballus (horse) is the source of this 2240-nucleotide long non-coding RNA. RefSeq lists it as uncharacterized. Lineage: Eukaryota; Metazoa; Chordata; Mammalia; Perissodactyla; Equidae. The record is from RefSeq and is a predicted model, not a curated record.
GCCCAAUGUCCAAGGAGGGGAAGGGAGCUGGAGAUUGAGUUCGUGGUCAAUGAUUUGAUGAAUCAUGUAUAUGUAAUAAAACCCCCAAAAACCUCCGGAAACCAAAACUUGGGUACAAAAUAAUAGACAUUCAUACAAACUUACACAGUACAAAUGUGUCUUUGGAGUAAAAUGUGAAAGUCUGCCCCUCCAAAGAGAGCAUCCAGAAGCAGUACUGUUAUCAUUUUGGUCCCUGGAAGAGAGAGAUAUUCAAAGAAGACUAAGAAAAACAUCAUUUUAUUAUUAACUGGGCAUCAGCCACAACACCAGUGCGGUAACCCCUGAACUCAUCUCCCCAUCCAUGGCCUCCCUUUGCUUGAUCCAAUGGAGGCCUAGAGCCCAGAAGCAAAGCAGGCAGAAGACAAGCCACGCUACAUUUGUAAGAGUACAUUAGAGGAUCAAGACUUAGUACUUUAAGAGUACAAAAAGAUACCUCUGCCCAAACAAAGGAAAUAGAGCUGGAGCAGAGCUUUAUAUAGGUUUAUUUGCACUUCCAGUGUUUCAUCCAUUAGAAAACAUGGCUGACCAGUGUCUUGAUAUUUAUCAGAUUAGUGCUCUCCCCUCUUGGAAGAAGGGUUUCUUGCCCUUGACACUCAUUCAUCUUUGAGUAAGAAAGAGGAGAAAGAAGAAGGAAGAAGAAAGGAUUUCCAUUCCUCAGAUGAUUCAGGUUAAAAACAAACAAACAAAAAGGACAUAAUCUAUUAAAAAUCUAAAGGAACAAUUGGAAAGAGAUAGAAAUUAAUCUUCAACUAUUUUUUUAAACUUUGGGGGUUUGUCAAAAUAAAGGCCAUAUUUUUUCCAACCACUUCUAGGUUUCUCAAACCAUCUGUGUUUCAAGGAGAAUUUAGUUCAUGUGUUUUCAGUUAAUUUACACAACUCAUCAAAAUGUUGACUUGUUAUUCUAGCUAUUUGAUGUCUCAGAAAUCAUGCACACAUUUUAAUAUAUGUUCAAAAGUCUUUGCUCCAUUUGGAUAAGGAAGUCAUCAUUAGCUUGCAGUAAACAGAACCUGGAAGAGCUUAAGUCUGAUUCCAAAAGGAGAACUAAGGAAAUUCCAAGGGGUUUGAAACUUGGCAAAUCACUUUCCACACACAUGGUUACAAAAUCUUUAAAGUGAUAAACACAAGGGAUGACCAAAAAAACAUCAAAAUCAUCACAAGCAUAAAUAGAGUUUCUACAAUAUGAAGAUGUUUAGUCAGGGGAUUUGCAAUAUAUGUCAUAUUAACUCUAUGUGCCUUAAAUGAAAGAACUUCAAGGUCAACAUAAACAGCCCCACAUUGGCCCAUGUGAACCAAACAUUGUGCAGAAGGCAAUAGGCUAAUUUUUCCACAAAAAAGGACAAAGAAUAUUCUUCUGAAUUUUGAUGACCCAAAGACCUUCUUUCAAGUAAAAUGUAUUAAACAUGUGUCUAUUAAAAAGCUCCUGUAUAUUCGUAUGAGUAGGCUGGAAAUAAUUUUUCUUUUCUCCUAGAUGGAUAUGUUUCUAGACCAGAAUACUUGAGUAAAAGUUAUCAUGGAUUAAUGUUUGAUUGUGUAGUUUUACACCUGACUAAACCUUCAGUUAAAUCUGAACCAAUUUUCAUGGUAUUUACACACACAGUUUUAGAGCUGUUUGAGGCAGGAACCGGCCUUUUGUGACUGAAGACAGGAAGAGGUUCAGAGACUACAAACCACAGAAAGUGUUCUGGGGCAAAAUCGCUUGCAAGUAUGAAGGAAACCAAUUCAUGUCCAAGAAUGGACUGUAGAAUGAAGCAGAAGAUUCAAGAUUCAGAGAAGCAGGUCAAUAGGAAUAUGAAAUAGAAAUGGAUCAAUAGGAACAGAAAAUCGAAGCGGAUCAAUAGGAACACGAAGCUGGAGGGAUUGGAGCAGCCGAGAGGUCAGGGAAAUGUUCUGGGGUAGUGUGGGGAGUGGAGAGGGCAGAGACAGAACCAGAGGUAGAACAAGGGCUGCUUUGGGACAAUUCUCUUGAUCACUGAGCUCCUUGAGUGGUUUGGCUUGCUUUACUGUUCAGGAAUAAAUUCAUAAAUAAGAGAAGUAUCAAGGGCAGAAGGAAACAUAACAAUCAUCUCAUUCAACUUUGUAAAUUCUAACCCUUCAUUUUUAUAAUUGCGGAUUUUGUUGCUCAGACUGGAUGGGUAACAUUUUAACCUAGCUGUACCCCAGCUGGUGUCAGAGCUGAGAGGAACAGUGGUAGUGCCUCUCCU